AGUUUUUAACUCAAGUGGCGGACGGGUGAGUAACACGUAAGAAUUUGCCUUUAGGAGGGGGAUAACAACUGGAAACGGUUGCUAAUACCCCAUAUGCUUUCGAGUGAAAUGGAUUUUUCCGCCUAGAGAGAAGCUUGCGGCUGAUUAGCCUGUUGGUAAGGUAAUGGCUUACCAAGGCGACGAUCAGUAUCUGGUUUGAGAGGAUGAUCGGACACACUGGAACUGAGACACGGUCCAG
Molecule: ribosomal RNA, 238 nt
Filed under: uncultured bacterium
Lineage: Bacteria
Description: partial 16S ribosomal RNA
Rfam family: Bacterial small subunit ribosomal RNA
Source: RNAcentral